RNAcentral lists this ribosomal RNA (567 nucleotides) under uncultured bacterium. Its description in RNAcentral is "bacterial SSU rRNA". It matches the Rfam family "Bacterial small subunit ribosomal RNA", at positions 338 to 916 of the family's 1533-position model. The record is from RNAcentral.
CCUACGGGAGGCAGCAGUGGGGAAUAUUGCACAAUGGGCGCAAGCCUGAUGCAGCGACGCCGCGUGAGGGAUGACGGCCUUCGGGUUGUAAACCUCUUUCAGUAGGGAAGAAGCGUAAGUGACGGUACCUGCAGAAGAAGCGCCGGCUAACUACGUGCCAGCAGCCGCGGUAAUACGUAGGGCGCAAGCGUUAUCCGGAAUUAUUGGGCGUAAAGAGCUCGUAGGCGGUUUGUCGCGUCUGCUGUGAAAGCCGGGGCUCAACUCCGGUUCUGCAGUGGGUACGGGCAGACUAGAGUGCAGUAGGGGAGACUGGAAUUCCUGGUGUAGCGGUGAAAUGCGCAGAUAUCAGGAGGAACACCGAUGGCGAAGGCAGGUCUCUGGGCUGUAACUGACGCUGAGGAGCGAAAGCAUGGGGAGCGAACAGGAUUAGAUACCCUGGUAGUCCAUGCCGUAAACGUUGGGCACUAGGUGUGGGGGACAUUCCACGUUUUCCGCGCCGUAGCUAACGCAUUAAGUGCCCGCCUGGGGAGUACGGCCGCAAGGCUAAAACGUCAAAGGAAUUGACGG